RNAcentral lists this ribosomal RNA (460 nucleotides) under uncultured bacterium. RNAcentral describes it as "partial 16S ribosomal RNA". It matches the Rfam family "Bacterial small subunit ribosomal RNA", at positions 338 to 795 of the family's 1533-position model. The record is from RNAcentral.
CCUACGGGAGGCAGCAGUGAGGAAUAUUGGUCAAUGGGCGUAAGCCUGAACCAGCCAAGUCGCGUGAGGGAUGAAGGUUCUAUGGAUCGUAAACCUCUUUUAUAAGGGAAUAAAGUGUGGGUCGUGUCCUGUUUUGUAUGUACCUUAUGAAUAAGGAUCGGCUAACUCCGUGCCAGCAGCCGCGGUAAUACGGAGGAUACGAGCGUUAUCCGGAUUUAUUGGGUUUAAAGGGUGCGUAGGCGGCCUUUUAAGUCAGCGGUGAAAGUCUGUGGCUCAACCAUAGAAUUGCGGUUGAAACUGGGAGGCUUGAGUAUGUUUGAGGCAGGCGGAAUGCGUGGUGUAGCGGUGAAAUGCGUAGAUAUCACGCAGAACCCCGAUUGCGAAGGCAGCCUGCCAAGCCAUGACUGACGCUGAUGCACGAAAGCGUGGGGAUCAAACAGGAUUAGAUACCCGGGUAGUC